AUCUGUGGUGUUUUUUGUGUAAUGUGCUUCAAAGAGUUUUGCCCUGAGGCUAUCUUCUACUGCUGUCUAUUGCAGCUGCUGCUUCUGUUGCUGGCGCUCUGAACCCCAUCUCCAAUGGCUAGGAUUUUCAACGUCUAGUGAUUAUGGUGGUGAUCUGACUGGAUCAGAAGAUGUGCUGGACACCACUGGGGAUGGAACAAAGAUGAUGGAGAAGCAGAAGGCUACAUGACUCAAUUGAAUACAACCAAAAAGAAACAUGUGGAAUGGAAUCCAGAGA
Molecule: long non-coding RNA, 277 nt
Filed under: Monodelphis domestica (gray short-tailed opossum)
Lineage: Eukaryota; Metazoa; Chordata; Mammalia; Didelphimorphia; Didelphidae
Description: lncRNA (ENSMODG00000048491.1)
Source: RNAcentral